RNAcentral lists this ribosomal RNA (631 nucleotides) under uncultured fungus. Its description in RNAcentral is "eukaryotic LSU rRNA". The stretch from base 243 to 396 matches the Rfam family "5.8S ribosomal RNA". Lineage: Eukaryota; Fungi. The record is from RNAcentral.
GGAAGGUCAUUAUUGAUGAAUGANACUUUUGGCAGGAUGCUGUUGUGCUGGCCCCUUAGGGGGGCAAUGUGCACGCACCUUUUCUGGCCAUCUGUUUCUUCUGUUCCACCUGUGCACUGCUUGUAGACACACACACACACUGUGUGUCUAUGAUGACAUUUACACACUCUUACAUAUAACAUGAAUAUGGUCGCAUGGAUAUAUAUAUUUGUAUAUUACAUGUGUAAUGAAAGGAAAUAUACAACUUUCAACAAUGGAUCUCUUGGCUCUCGCAUCGAUGAAUAACACAGCGAAAUGUGAUAAGUAAUGUGAAUUGCAUAAUCCAGUGAAUCAUCGAAUCUUUGAACGCAUCUUGCGCUCCUUGGCAUUCUGAGGAGCAUGCCUGUUUGAGUGUCGUUAAACUAUCAAAACACACUUUUCUUGGGUGUUUUGGACUUUGGGAGUAUUUUGCUGGCCAGCUUUUUAGGCCAUCUCUCCUCAAAAGCAUUGGCUUGGAGACCAUAUCAUUGUGUGAUCUUUUGUUUACACUCACCUUGGGCUGUCUCUGCUUUCUUCUUCUCUCUUUGACCUCAAAUCAGGUAUGGAAUACCCCGCUGAACUUAAGCAUAUCAACAAAUCGUAGGACCUCUCC